UGCGCAGGCGGGAUGUUAAGUCGGCGGUGAAAUUUUGCAGCUCAACUGUAAAAGUGCCUUCGAUACUGGCUUUCUUGAGUGUGGAUGAAGUAGGCGGAAUUUGUGGUGUAGCGGUGAAAUGCUUAGAUAUCACGAGGAACUCCGAUUGCGCAGGCAGCUUACUAAACCACUACUGACGCUCAUGCACGAAGGGCUGGGGAUCAAACA
RNAcentral lists this ribosomal RNA (207 nucleotides) under uncultured bacterium. RNAcentral describes it as "partial 16S ribosomal RNA". It matches the Rfam family "Bacterial small subunit ribosomal RNA", at positions 568 to 774 of the family's 1533-position model. The record is from RNAcentral.